GGUGAACACACACAGUGACAACUGAUACAUUAUCAGACAGUGCCACAUAUCACUUCCAAUAGAACACCACUGCUAAUGUGGCUUCAGGACUCAGGAAUUACAUACACCACUGAAUGCAUAGAAAUAUCUGCAUCAGGGAGACCAGAAAAAUCUAUCAGUCCCUGACCACCUCUUAUCCAAGGACACAAGUUCUCUUCCACUCAGCUGAAAUGUGAAAACUCCUCAAAGAAGCUUCCUCUGACUACCCAAUCAAACUAAGAACCUCCCUGGGGCCAAGUAAUAAAUACUUUCUUAAAAACCAUAAA
Molecule: long non-coding RNA, 305 nt
Organism: Mastomys coucha (southern multimammate mouse)
Lineage: Eukaryota; Metazoa; Chordata; Mammalia; Rodentia; Muridae
Exons: 2
Source: RefSeq, a predicted model, not a curated record